GAGUGUGGCUGCUUCGUUCUUUCUUCUAGUUGUAGACACCUCGAGUUGUCAUUUACGAAUAUGGUGCAACUCGUCAAGUUUGAUGACACUGUUACAGUUUCCCGUUUGCGGACUAGCAAUUUGAAAGCAAUUCUAGCUCGGAUUCUGGAUUCUGCAACUUCCGCAUACCGUAACUUCUCACGCUCAAAGGAAUGCGGAGAGAAUCAGUAGAAAAGCAAGAAAAUCGCUUGUUUUCUGUGACAAAACUAGAGGCCUUCGAACGCUUUGUUUGAUGACGCCAUCAUG
This is a long non-coding RNA of Corticium candelabrum, 285 nucleotides long. RefSeq lists it as uncharacterized. The transcript is spliced from 3 exons. Lineage: Eukaryota; Metazoa; Porifera; Homoscleromorpha; Homosclerophorida; Plakinidae. The record is from RefSeq and is a predicted model, not a curated record.